GCGGAGGCGGCGGCGCUGGGACCCCCCUCCCCACUUCCCUCGGGGUUCCUGUGUGUCCGGGGGGUGAGCGAGCUCCCCUGAUUCCUGGUGCGGGCUCGGGCCUGGGGCGCGGCCGCACCCCUCACCCACAGCGGCGCGGGGGCCCAGCCGUGGGGAACGCCCUCCCGGGAUGAAGCGCUUCCCGGUGCGUUCAAGUGCCUAUCAACAGAAUGGAUGCGCGGCACCCUUACCACGAUACACUUUUUUUCUUCAUUAUUAUCUGAAUGUGACUAGAACUUGCUCACCUGCGAGACACUGUACUAAGCACCUCCCAGGAUUUUCCAGUUUGGUCCUCCUGGCAAAUCUAUUUUUUAUUUUACUGAACAGGAAAACAUAUAAUGCAAACAGCCAUAUAAUAAAUGACGACGUCUCAAUGCCAGGAUGUCCUGGGCCAUUACAAGUUGCCAAGCCCUGGGCUGACACCUGGACCACCAGCCCGUUCAUUCAACGCUGACAACUACUCCGGGAUGGGACCCUUAUUUUACAGACCAAGAGACACAAGCACCGAGGAGCAAAUGUACCCUUAUAGCUCUGGCUGGACAGUUGUGAUGGUUUACAUCUGUAGCGUCCGUCCUUUGGGGGCAGAGACAGGAGGAUUAUUAAUUUGAAGCCAGACUGGGUUACCUAGUGAGACCUCAUGUCAAACAACAACACACAAAUGUCAGAUUGACCGCAAGUGGGUGAGCUGAGGAUGUCAGACAUAUUCAUGAUGUCAUUAUUUCUAUCAUAAACCACUAUACCAUGUUACCCACCUCUUUAAAGAACACACAAUAAACCUAUUAAUUAUA
Long non-coding RNA from Mus musculus (house mouse), 827 nucleotides. RefSeq annotates it as RIKEN cDNA A930005G22 gene. The record is from RefSeq and is marked validated. NCBI's taxonomy places the organism in Eukaryota, Metazoa, Chordata, Mammalia, Rodentia, Muridae. The transcript is spliced from 2 exons.